AGUGAACGCUGGCGGCAGGCCUAACACAUGCAAGUCGAACGGCAGCACGGCAGUAGCAAUACUGUGGGUGGCGAGUGGCGGACGGGUGAGGAAUACAUCGGGAUCUACCCUGUUGUGGGGGAUAACGUAGGGAAACUUACGCUAAUACCGCAUAAGAACUGAGGUUGAAAGCGGCGGACCGCAAGGCGUCGCGCGAUUGGAUGAACCGAUGUCCGAUUAGCUAGUUGGCGGGGUAAAGGCCCACCAAGGCGACGAUCGGUAGCUGGUCUGAGAGGACGACCAGCCACACUGGAACUGAGACACGGUCCAGACUCCUACGGGAGGCAGCAGUGGGGAAUAUUGCACAAUGGGCGAAAGCCUGAUGCAGCAACGCCGCGUGAGCGAUGAAGGCCUUCGGGUCGUAAAGCUCUGUCCUCAAGGAAGAUAAUGACGGUACUUGAGGAGGAAGCCCCGGCUAACUACGUGCCAGCAGCCGCGGUAA
Molecule: ribosomal RNA, 481 nt
Filed under: uncultured bacterium
Lineage: Bacteria
Description: bacterial SSU rRNA
Rfam family: Bacterial small subunit ribosomal RNA
Source: RNAcentral